Herpailurus yagouaroundi (jaguarundi) is the source of this 125-nucleotide long non-coding RNA. RefSeq lists it as uncharacterized. Lineage: Eukaryota; Metazoa; Chordata; Mammalia; Carnivora; Felidae. The transcript is spliced from 3 exons. The record is from RefSeq and is a predicted model, not a curated record.
UGGUGCCUUCUGGGAGGAUGCCGGAAGAACACCAUCCUCCCCCUCCGGGGGAGGAAGACGCUGUUCCGAGAGCGGGAGGCAGAAACACUCCAGUGGGAAGCCCUCCCUUUACCAGACAAAGGACU